This is a non-coding RNA of Cinara cedri, 352 nucleotides long. Lineage: Eukaryota; Metazoa; Arthropoda; Insecta; Hemiptera; Aphididae. The record is from the annotation of a GenBank genome assembly.
GCUGUCUUUUCUUUGUUAUUUAAACUGACAAUAAUGGGAUGUGUUAACAUUACUACCCUUAUAUUGCUAGUAGUUAUAAAAGUCUACGCAGAAAAAUUGGCGGGUAAUAGCUAGUUUUACCAGUUGUACAUACAAUAAACGUUCAACGAAAGCGGAGGCAACAAAACACCACAGUCAGUGACUGUGAGUAAUGGAGUAAAUAUCAACUACCUGACAUUAACCUAAUAUUAUUAUUAGUAUGAACAAAAUAAAAACUGAACAAUUUUUAUAUGUAGCAGUAUGCAACAAAUCUUUUGUAAGUACUAUUAUUUAGGUAUUUUUUGUCAAACUACGCCCAGGGCUUAAUACUGAU